UAUACUUUAUGUCUUAUGGAGCAAUACCACGUGAACGAUGAAGGUCUUCUGAUUGUAAAGUUCUUUUAUUUAGGAAAAAAAGCGCGCUAGGAAAUGAGCGCGCCUUGAUGGUACUAAUUGAAUAAGUGACAGCUAACUAUGUGCCAGCAGCUGCGGUAAAACAUAGGUCACGAGCAUUAUCCGGAUUUAUUGGGCGUAAAGGAAGCGUAGGUGGAGAGGUUGAUCCAUUGUUAAAGGCAUUUGCUUAACAAAUGUGUGCGAUGGAGAUCGCCUCCCUAGAGUUAAUCAGGGGGUACUGGAAUUCAAUGUGUAGCGGUGGAAUGCGUAGAUAUAUUGAGGAACACCAGAGGCUAAGGCGAGUACCUAGGAUAUAACUGACACUGAGGCUUGAAAGCGUGGGGAGCAAAUGGGAUUAGAUACCCCAGUAGUCCACGCCGUAAACGAUGGGCAUUAGGUAUUUGACAUCUGGUCGAGUGCUGUAGCUAACGCGUUAAAUGCCCCGCCUGGGUAGUAUAUAUGCAAAUAUGAAACUCAAAGAAAUUGACGGGGACCUGAACAAGUGGUGGAGCAUGUUGCUAAAUUCGAUAAUACACGAAAAACUCAAAG
RNAcentral lists this ribosomal RNA (606 nucleotides) under Mycoplasma wenyonii. RNAcentral describes it as "bacterial SSU rRNA". It matches the Rfam family "Bacterial small subunit ribosomal RNA", at positions 372 to 975 of the family's 1533-position model. Lineage: Bacteria; Bacillati; Mycoplasmatota; Mollicutes; Mycoplasmatales; Mycoplasmataceae. The record is from RNAcentral.